Molecule: long non-coding RNA, 416 nt
Filed under: Heterocephalus glaber (naked mole-rat)
Lineage: Eukaryota; Metazoa; Chordata; Mammalia; Rodentia; Bathyergidae
Description: lncRNA (ENSHGLG00100039664.1)
Source: RNAcentral
GGCGACUCGGGGCGCCUGGAAGCCCGGCGAGUCGCUGGGGGAAGCAGAGCAGACACCCGGCUCGGCCCGAGCGCAGGGCGCGGAUCCCACGAGUCGGAGCCGGCGGAUCCGAGCCGGUACAUCGGAGCCAGAGCUUGGAGGUCCCCACCCUGUGCCUGUCUCCCUGCCUUGGAAGUGACAGCUGGGGAGCCUGAGGCCUGCAAGACCACUCAGGGGGCUGGAUCGACAGCCCCAGCCCUCCAGUGUGCCUGCCUGGCAGGAGUUCUCAGCAGAAAGCCUGGGGGGGGGGGGGUUCCUCCUCCCUGCUGCCUAACUGUCCUUGUGCCCUCACGCUCUGUGCAUUAGACUCUUGCAGGGCAGGGACGGCAGGAUGUGGCCUCUAUUUACACAUUCCCUCAAUAAAAUCGACUUUCCAA